CUUCGAUUUUUGAUCGUCAAAAAAACAUGGCCGCCGUUACUUAAAAUAGAACAUAGGGGUCAAAUGCAGUUUUUGGCUUAUAUCUCAAAAAUGAAAGCAUUUAGAGCAAAUCUGACAUGGGGUAAAAAUGUUCAUUAGGUCAAGAUGUAUCAGCCCUGAAAUUUUCAGAUGAAUCAAACAAACCAUUGUUGGGUUGCUGCCACUUAAUUGGUAAUUUUAAGGAAAUUUUGCAGUUUUUGGUCAUUAUCUUGAAUAUUAUUAUAGAUAAAG
This 270-nucleotide long non-coding RNA is filed under the name Mytilus galloprovincialis (Mediterranean mussel). The record is from RNAcentral. Lineage: Eukaryota; Metazoa; Mollusca; Bivalvia; Mytilida; Mytilidae.